GAUGAAGAACGCAGCGAAAUGCGAUAAGUAGUGUGAAUUGCAGAUUUCAGUGAAUCAUCGAGUCUUUGAACGCACAUUGCGCCCCCUGGUAUUCCGGGGGGCAUGCCUGUCCGAGCGUCAUUGCUGCCCUCAAGCACGGCUUGUGUGUUGGGCCUCCGUCCUCCUCCCGGGGGACGGGCCCGAAAGGCAGCGGCGGCACCGCGUCCGGUCCUCGAGCGUAUGGGGCUUCGUCACCCGCUCUUGUAGGCCCGGCCGGCGCUUGCCGACACAUCAAUCUUUUUUCCAGGUUGACCUCGGAUCAGGUAGGGAUACCCGCUGAACUUAAGCAUAUCAAUAAGCGGAGGA
This 345-nucleotide unclassified non-coding RNA is filed under the name soil metagenome. RNAcentral describes it as "partial contains 5.8S ribosomal RNA, internal transcribed spacer 2, and large subunit ribosomal RNA". The stretch from base 1 to 120 matches the Rfam family "5.8S ribosomal RNA", at positions 35 to 154 of the family's 154-position model. The record is from RNAcentral.